Molecule: transfer RNA, 64 nt
Filed under: Nesophrosyne sp. 295 GMB-2012
Lineage: Eukaryota; Metazoa; Arthropoda; Insecta; Hemiptera; Cicadellidae
Description: tRNA-Cys
Rfam family: tRNA
About the family: Transfer RNA (tRNA) molecules are approximately 80 nucleotides in length. Their secondary structure includes four short double-helical elements and three loops (D, anti-codon, and T loops). Further hydrogen bonds mediate the characteristic L-shaped molecular structure. tRNAs have two regions of fundamental functional importance: the anti-codon, which is responsible for specific mRNA codon recognition, and the 3' end, to which the tRNAs corresponding amino acid is attached (by aminoacyl-tRNA synthetases). tRNAs cope with the degeneracy of the genetic code in two manners: having more than one tRNA (with a specific anti-codon) for a particular amino acid; and 'wobble' base-pairing, i.e. permitting non-standard base-pairing at the 3rd anti-codon position.
Source: RNAcentral
GGUCUUAUAGUUUAAUAAAAACUUUAAAUUGCAAAUUUAAAAAUGUUCAUAUCCACUAAGACUU